GACGAACGCUGGCGGCGUGCCUAAUACAUGCAAGUAGAACGCUGAAGGAGGAGCUUGCUUCUCUGGAUGAGUUGCGAACGGGUGAGUAACGCGUAGGUAACCUGCCUGGUAGCGGGGGAUAACUAUUGGAAACGAUAGCUAAUACCGCAUAAUAGUAGAUGUUGCAUGACAUUUGCUUAAAAGGUGCAAUUGCAUCACUACCAGAUGAACCUGCGUUGUAUUAGCUAGUUGGUGGGGUAACGGCUCACCAAGGCGACGAUACAUAGCCGACCUGAGAGGGUGAUCGGCCACACUGGGACUGAGACACGGCCCAGACUCCUACGGGAGGCAGCAGUAGGGAAUCUUCGGCAAUGGACGGAAGUCUGACCGAGCAACGCCGCGUGAGUGAAGAAGGUUUUCGGAUCGUAAAGCUCUGUUGUAAGAGAAGAACGAGUGUGAGAGUGGAAAGUUCACACUGUGACGGUAUCUUACCAGAAAGGGACGGCUAACUACGUG
RNAcentral lists this ribosomal RNA (495 nucleotides) under uncultured bacterium. Its description in RNAcentral is "partial 16S ribosomal RNA". It matches the Rfam family "Bacterial small subunit ribosomal RNA", at positions 28 to 507 of the family's 1533-position model. The record is from RNAcentral.